CAGGCACUUGCUCAAUGUGAUAUGGCCCUUACUAACUUAGGCAUUAUUAGACUUAGUGCUGAUGAUUCUGCUGGUGCUGCUCGGAUGGUUGCUUCGAGUGGCAAAAGAGAUAUAGGCGCAAUAGCAAGUGCUAGAGCAGCUGCAUUAUAUGGGCUUGACACUCUUGCAGAUAAAAUCCAGGACGAGGAUGAUAACGUUACCAGGUAUUUGGUACUUGCAAGAGAACCUAUAAUUCCC
Molecule: long non-coding RNA, 237 nt
Organism: Hibiscus syriacus
Lineage: Eukaryota; Viridiplantae; Streptophyta; Magnoliopsida; Malvales; Malvaceae
Exons: 3
Source: RefSeq, a predicted model, not a curated record